RNAcentral lists this transfer RNA (85 nucleotides) under Actinomycetes bacterium. RNAcentral describes it as "Actinobacteria bacterium tRNA-Leu". It matches the Rfam family "tRNA". Rfam says of the family: Transfer RNA (tRNA) molecules are approximately 80 nucleotides in length. Lineage: Bacteria; Bacillati; Actinomycetota; Actinomycetes. The record is from RNAcentral.
GUCGGAGUGGCGGAAUUGGCAGACGCGCUAGGUUGAGGGCCUAGUCCCGCUUAGCGGGAUGGGGGUUCGAGUCCCCCCUCCGACA